This is a long non-coding RNA of Ostrea edulis (European flat oyster), 1015 nucleotides long. RefSeq lists it as uncharacterized. The transcript has 2 exons. The record is from RefSeq and is a predicted model, not a curated record. Lineage: Eukaryota; Metazoa; Mollusca; Bivalvia; Ostreida; Ostreidae.
CACCCUGAAGUAUAGCAGUGUUGAAUUGUGUGCCAUGCUUCAAGAUUUUGCCUACAAAAAUAAUUCGUCGUUGAAUAUUACACAAGUAAUAUGCAGAUAUGUGAAAAACAACGGGUCAACCUUUGAUAAUAUGAGGGAGGAUUUCUCACUUGCAAACAGCUGUCUUUCGUCUUUAUUGAGAAAAAUAAGAGCGGGAGGAAAAGGCACUGUAUACACAUGCACCGCCUUCUGUCUAUCACUGUUCAGGGUUUAUCGAACAAAACGAUGAAGUCGUAUUAUACAUUUGCAGCUCUAAGAGGUAUGAAAAUCUUACCAAACCUUAAAACUACGGACUUUGAAACUGUGGGUCAAAAUGGUGAAAGGCUCGUGGAAAAAUAUUAGCUGUGACAGAAUUUAAUCGAGGCACAAGCAAUGAAACAGACGAUAAAGGUGCAAAGAUGUGCGAAAUUCUGUUCAGUCAAAUCAUUUGCAAAAGUAUUUGUUUGAGAGACACUCAGAAAGAUUGAACAAACGUUUCUUUCAUCCCCGAAAAAUCAACAUCAGCUUCUGUCAGGAUAAUUUUAUAAUAGAAGUAAAUCUGCGAGUAUCAACUAAUCCAAAUCACAUGUUUACCAAUGCAAUAUACGAACCACCAUCUUUUUAUCACGUGACAAAGCAACUGUGAGAAGGCACAGGAUAACCAGCUGUUGCUUUGAUCCUUCAGAUAAUCAUUAAAGCCGCAGUAUGACCCGGUAUGAAAAGUUCCAUUGUCUACAUGUACGACACAUAAAAUAGAACAAGGAUCACAUCACAUGGUCACCGUUCAAGCGAGUAGAAAUUCGGAGGAUGAAACGCCCUAGCAAAUUUUUAAUACAUUCUUCAAGAUGUGUGAAAUUUGUGUCGCCGAGAAUAUCUGCUGUCAAUACACAGUUGAUACAUAUAACUUUGUACAAGGACGUGCACACGUUCUGUAGUUGGUAUUCGAUUGGAAUACAGGUUGCAAAAAUUGGAAGGAAAUAAAAUAUUGUAAUAAAAA